RNAcentral lists this long non-coding RNA (3622 nucleotides) under Podarcis lilfordi (Lilford's wall lizard). Lineage: Eukaryota; Metazoa; Chordata; Lepidosauria; Squamata; Lacertidae. The record is from RNAcentral.
AGUGUGUGCUUAGUUGUCAUUUGUUUGUGGUGCCCACAACAGGUUCUCAUGUUUGCAAAUGCUUCCACAGGCCUAAAUGAAUAAGUGACCCAAGGUGGUGUUUAGCAGUGUUCGAAAUUAGCCAGGCGCCAGGCGCAUUUUGGACCUGUUAGCAACUAGCGCCUGACAUCUCCACCAUCUGGUGGUGCAUGCCUGGGGAACAUUGGCUCUUGAGUCUUUUCACAAACUAAUACUACAUCCUGUAUAAUUCUUUCCGUUACACUUUCUGCACAAUCAGAAUGAAUUUCAGGAACCAAAAUGCUUUUUCUGUGCAGCCUGAGCAGGAGCAUUGAGCAAUGUUAUACUUAAUUGUUGCAGCUUGUCUUCAGUUACCCUAUCCCACUGCCCUGCUCACAGUUGUGAAGAAUAUUCUUACAUUAUGAAUGCUCUGUGUUACCUUUAAGAAAAAGAGGCAGGAACAGGCCAAUAUAUAUAUAUGUGGACUGUCCCUUGAUCAAGUGACUUUUCUUCUUUACAUUCUCAAAGCUCUUAACCUAGCUCAAGGUUGUCCUCUGAACUAGCCAGAUGUUUAACUGAUAAUCAAUCACAGUCAGCCCAUCAUUUGAAAAAUAAGACAUUGGCGACAUCUUUCCCAAAAAUGGCAACUAGACUUUCCAUUUUGGUGACUGUAACCUUUAAGGAACAAUCUGGCGCCUAGUUUAUAUAUCUGAGUUUCUGACACUGGUGUUAUAAGAUUGCAACCAUAUCAUAUCAUGUCAUCGAUUCCCUCCCUUCCUCAAUGACUUGCCAUUGUGAGUUAGCUCCAAAUACCCGAUUUGUCCUGAUGCAAAACAGUUGUUUCUAACCUACACAAUGGAUAAUGUUUGCUCAGAACACCUGCCAGAAUUGUGUUUAUACGGGUGCCUUGUGCACUAUAUCUAAAUAAACAGAAGUCUUGGAAGUGUAGUGAUAAGCCAGUGAAGUAUUGGUUUCCUGGUUGCGAAAUGUUAUGUGUAAAGAAUGACUUUUUGUGUGCGCGCGUGUGCGUGUUAUUGUCUGACAGCAAAAGAAGCUUUUAAAAACCUUCCAGUCACUUAGAGCGAAGCUAUACAAUGCAAAGUUUGGUACUACUGGCAGACCAUAUCCAUCACUGAAAUGGCAAGUCUCAGCGUUAUGAAAGAAAACUUGUGGCAGGGUGGCGGGGGCAGGGGCAUGCGGAGAGAAUAGGCGAAGAGAGCUGUUCAGUCCAGUUUACAUUUGUCACUGCUGACUAGCCUUUAAAAAAUGUAUUAGCUGUGUAUGGCAGUAAGUAAGAUCCAGCUGCAGAGGAUUACUGAUCUGAGUGGGUCGGGGAAGGUUGGAAUGCAUUCAGUUCCAUCAAGGGAUUUGUGUCCCUCGUCAUUAGCCCUAACAUGACUAAAGCACCGAAGAUUAAGAACAGACCAGUGUCACCUGCUCUGAACUCUGGAAAAAUACCCCAAAACAACUAAAAGGAAAAGGAAACACAAGAGAACUCUGUAUUGGGGAGAGUAACAAAGGAAGAGGUGAAUUAUCUGAGGAGGGAAAGGCUUCAACCACUUAAGGUGAUAUAUAAAGGGGGGAGGGAGGAGGGGAAAGACCAAAACCUGAAUGUGGGAGGCACCCACAAAUCAGGAGUAACUCUGUGAAAGGCAAUCUGAAGCGCAUUUAAUUAUACUGAGUCAACCUAAAUCAGAGUACUCCACCUCAACCGAUUUAUAUUGCACAGGGGAAAAACAUGACUGUGGGCAAAUCACUUCUACUGUUGAUUGAAUGUGACUGUGGGUAGUCAUUUAUAUAACAAGUGGCUCCAAGGAAACACCGCUUCCCAUUGAAUGCCAUUUUUGCGGAGAGUUUUAAAAAGUUGCAUUUAGUGUUUGUGAAUGAGUCCACAGCCUCAUUUGAACCAGUGCUCCAAAAUGGCAAGUGGGCAUUCUGUUUUGGCAACUGUAACCCUGGUUUAAGGAGCCAUUUGGUGCCUAGCUUAUAUGUCUGAGUUUCUAACACUGCUCAUGGAACCUCAAAUACUUAUCUGAACCAGGCCAAAAUAUUUCAACCUCCACUAAAUUAUAGGCACAGACCCAUCUACAGUAAAGGUGUUGUGAAAGUGACCUACCUUACAAGCAAGUUGUAAAGACUACUGAGGACUCUGAAUAGUUCAAACUAUAUGAAUUCUAAGUGUUAUUAAAUGUAUGUGUUAAACACAUUAGAAUCAGAGAAGCAAUCACCACAAAGACCUGCUUUUUUCUGGGGUUUUGAAUUCUGCUUACAUGCCAGCUAGCAGUUCAGUGGCAGGAAGGCUUUUGGCACGGUGAAGCCAUGAAGUGGUAAACUAGAAGCAUCUGUAAAAAUUUAGAGGGAAUAUCAGCUUUCUCAAAGCUCUAGCCGAAAGACUAAUGAGGUGCAAAUGAUAGCACCACAUAACCCUUCUCCACCCCAACUGUGGAAUGAGAUAUUGCAGCACAAAUACAAAAUUAAGGCAUGGGCUUCAAUACUGAAGCAUACCGAGACAAUAUUUUUUUCUUCUCCUUUUGGAUUGCUGUCAAAUUGCAGAGGUGGGCCAGCUUGUAUUGCAUUGCCUUCUUCCCUAAAGAAAAGGGUGUCAAUGAUUAUCUUAUCUGCACACAAACUUUUUUUUUUUGGUCAAUUAUUCUAAUAAAUGGCUGCUUGUUUUCAUCUUUGGGCUUCUGCUUUUGCUUUUUUUCUUUCUUUCAAGAGAAAGGAACUUCUUGGGAGAUUCGGAAACUUGAGCACAGCACAGUCAGGGUGUGAUCUGCUUUCUCUUAACAGCAGAUGGCAGGUUUAGGCUGGCAACCUUGCCUUUCUUAACCUGGCUAGUCAAUAGUUUUUGCGUUCUGUCUGUCGUCCGAAAAUGAGGCCUAAACUGUUACGAAAAUUCUGGAGAACAUUUCUGUUUCCCGGAGCAGAACACAAACGAAACUCUCCCACUGAGACUUGUUUGUUUAUGAAUUUUAGUCCUUUCGCUCCUUGGUAUUUAUAGGAAAAAUUGCUCCUACUUAGCAACACCUGAAGCCUUUAUUGCCAGGCUCAUCCCACUUACAAAAUAUGUGUUUAGGGGCAGAGGUGUGGUGCCUUAAAAUGGCUCAUUCUUGUCAUAACAGGCAUGGCAUUAGUCUUGCUGAGUAGCGACUAGAAGCGACAGCACAUUGUCUGAGGUGCCUCAAGGGCACUCAAUCAUCACUCCUACACAACACAAAUGUGCAUUCGAAGGCACUGUCUGCGGCACUGUUCCAAGGUUCAAUGCCAUCAAAGGAGCAAGAGAAGAUAAGAACAUUGCUUUCUUCUUUUCUUUUCUUUUAAAAAAAUGUUACUUUGCUUUGCUAAAUUUCUAGUAAGUGGGGGGAAAGUAAAUUCAAUGCAAGGACAAAGUAGGGGUCCUGUACAAUGGCCAUCUCCCUCCCCCCAUUUAAAAUGGAAGGCACAAAGGGAUUUUGCAAUGGCUUUGUAGCAGUGGUGCCUCUAUCAUUGCUUAGCUAAGCUCCCCAUCUGCUGCAGGGGUUAGGGGAAGCAGGGGUGGAAAUACCUGCAACUGAUGUUCUUUUUUUCUUUUUCUUUUUCAAGAAUUUUUAUUGCAAAAUAAAUACAUCAGUACCAAGCCAUACAU